UCAUGUUAUUCGACAUCAGCUGGUUGCUGGCUGGAAUUUGAGGAGAUCGUCACCGGCUAGUUGAAGAAGACGAAGGGGUCAACGGCGGCGACUGUGUUUGUGUAUUAUCGGCUGCUGCUGGUUUUCAGGAUGUCUAGGUUGGGAUAUUUAGGUUGUCUUGGGUCUUGUUGUUGUAUAAGAAAGGUCCAGUAGAAACGGCUGGAGGGGUGCUGUUUAUAGUUAAGAAAAAAACAUGGAAAAUGGCAGCUUUCUCUCUGAAGAAGAU
Molecule: long non-coding RNA, 265 nt
Filed under: Nicotiana benthamiana
Lineage: Eukaryota; Viridiplantae; Streptophyta; Magnoliopsida; Solanales; Solanaceae
Description: long non-coding RNA (NBEN_LNC020110)
Source: RNAcentral